Molecule: ribosomal RNA, 420 nt
Filed under: bacterium enrichment culture clone ALO1_GLFRUDD03HH4GL
Lineage: Bacteria
Description: bacterial SSU rRNA
Rfam family: Bacterial small subunit ribosomal RNA
Source: RNAcentral
GAGUUUGAUCAUGGCUCAGAUUGAACGCUGGCGGCAUGCCUUACACAUGCAAGUCGAACGGCAGCACGGGAGCUUGCUCCUGGUGGCGAGUGGCGAACGGGUGAGUAAUGCAUCGGAACGUAUCCUGGAGUGGGGGAUAACGUAGCGAAAGUUACGCUAAUACCGCAUAUUCUGUGAGCAGGAAAGCGGGGGACCUUCGGGCCUCGCGCUCUUGGAGCGGCCGAUGUCGGAUUAGCUAGUUGGUGAGGUAAAGGCUCACCAAGGCGACGAUCCGUAGCAGGUCUGAGAGGAUGAUCUGCCACACUGGAACUGAGACACGGUCCAGACUCCUACGGGAGGCAGCAGUGGGGAAUUUUGGACAAUGGGGGCAACCCUGAUCCAGCCAUGCCGCGUGAGUGAAGAAGGCCUUCGGUUGUAAGU